Molecule: long non-coding RNA, 176 nt
Organism: Hippocampus comes (tiger tail seahorse)
Lineage: Eukaryota; Metazoa; Chordata; Actinopteri; Syngnathiformes; Syngnathidae
Exons: 3
Source: RefSeq, a predicted model, not a curated record
GUCUUCAAAUAGACUUUGACAACUCUGGGGUUUUGGUUUUAUAUCAACGGUUGUGAAUCAGGUAUUCUCUAAUUGGUUUCUGGGCUCUGAAAUCUGUCAACAAAAACUCCCCCAAAACUGCCGAGUACUGUACUAAAGAGAGUAUGCUAAGAAAGUACUCUUCUCAAGUGUUUUUA